This 395-nucleotide ribosomal RNA is filed under the name uncultured bacterium. RNAcentral describes it as "bacterial SSU rRNA". It matches the Rfam family "Bacterial small subunit ribosomal RNA", at positions 358 to 770 of the family's 1533-position model. The record is from RNAcentral.
GGAAUAUUGGACAAUGGGGGCAACCCUGAUCCAGCCAUGCCGCGUGAGUGAAGAAGGCCUUCGGGUUGUAAAGCUCUUUCGACGGGGACGAUGAUGACGGUACCCGUAUAAGACGCCCCGGCUAACUUCGUGCCAGCAGCCGCGGUAAUACGAAGGGGGCUAGCGUUGUUCGGAAUUACUGGGCGUAAAGCGCGCGUGGGCGGUGUUCUAUGUCAGAGGUGAAAUCCCGGGGCUCAACUCCGGAAUUGCCUUUGAAACGGGGACACUUGAGUCCGAGAGAGGAUGGCGGAAUUCCUAGUGUAGAGGUGAAAUUCGUAGAUAUUAGGAAGAACACCGGUGGCGAAGGCGGCCAUCUGGCUCGGUACUGACGCUCAGACGCGAAAGCGUGGGGAGCA